This 364-nucleotide ribosomal RNA is filed under the name uncultured Comamonadaceae bacterium. RNAcentral describes it as "bacterial SSU rRNA". It matches the Rfam family "Bacterial small subunit ribosomal RNA", at positions 30 to 393 of the family's 1533-position model. Lineage: Bacteria; Pseudomonadati; Pseudomonadota; Betaproteobacteria; Burkholderiales; Comamonadaceae. The record is from RNAcentral.
AUUGAACGCUGGCGGCAUGCCUUACACAUGCAAGUCGAACGGCAGCACGGGAGCAAUCCUGGUGGCGAGUGGCGAACGGGUGAGUAAUACAUCGGAACGUGCCCAAUCGUGGGGGAUAACGCAGCGAAAGCUGUGCUAAUACCGCAUACGAUCUACGGAUGAAAGCAGGGGAUCGCAAGACCUUGCGCGAAUGGAGCGGCCGAUGGCAGAUUAGGUAGUUGGUGAGGUAAAGGCUCACCAAGCCGUCGAUCUGUAGCUGGUCUGAGAGGACGACCAGCCACACUGGGACUGAGACACGGCCCAGACUCCUACGGGAGGCAGCAUUGGGGAAUUUUAGACUAUGUGCGAAUUCCCUGAUGCAGCC